RNAcentral lists this ribosomal RNA (398 nucleotides) under uncultured soil bacterium. Its description in RNAcentral is "bacterial SSU rRNA". It matches the Rfam family "Bacterial small subunit ribosomal RNA", at positions 26 to 432 of the family's 1533-position model. The record is from RNAcentral.
AGAUUGAACGCUGGCGGCAUGCCUUACACAUGCAAGUCGAACGGUAACGCGGGGCAACCUGGCGACGAGUGGCGAACGGGUGAGUAAUAUAUCGGAACGUGCCCAGUAGUGGGGGAUAGCCCGGCGAAAGCCGGAUUAAUACCGCAUACGACCUACGGGUGAAAGCGGGGGAUCGCAAGACCUCGCGCUAUUGGAGCGGCCGAUAUCAGAUUAGGUAGUUGGUGGGGUAAAAGCCUACCAAGCCGACGAUCUGUAGCUGGUCUGAGAGGACGACCAGCCACACUGGGACUGAGACACGGCCCAGACUCCUACGGGAGGCAGCAGUGGGGAAUUUUGGACAAUGGGCGCAAGCCUGAUCCAGCCAUCGCGCGUGCGGGAAGAGGCCUUCGGUGUAACCG